UGUUUGAUGUUCUAACGUGGACCCGUGAUCCGGGUUGCGGACAGUGUCUGGUGGGUAGUUUGACUGGGGCGGUCUCCUCCUAAAGAGUAACGGAGGAGCACGAAGGUUGGCUAAUCCUGGUCGGACAUCAGGAGGUUAGUGCAAUGGCAUAAGCCAGCUUGACUGCGAGCGUGACGGCGCGAGCAGGUGCGAAAGCAGGUCAUAGUGAUCCGGUGGUUCUGAAUGGAAGGGCCAUCGCUCAACGGAUAAAAGGUACUCCGGGGAUAACAGGCUGAUACCGCCCAAGAGUUCAUAUCGACGGCGGUGUUUGGCACCUCGAUGUCGGCUCAUCACAUCCUGGGGCUGAAGUAGGUCCCAAGGGUAUGGCUGUUCGCCAUUUAAAGUGGUACGCGAGCUGGGUUUAGAACGUCGUGAGACAGUUCGGUCCCUAUCUGCCGUGGGCGCUGGAGAACUGAGGGGGGCUGCUCCUAGUACGAGAGGACCGGAGUGGACGCAUCACUGGUGUUCGGGUUGUCAUGCCAAUGGCACUGCCCGGUAGCUAAAUGCGGAAGAGAUAAGUGCUGAAAGCAU
This 570-nucleotide ribosomal RNA is filed under the name Shigella sonnei. Its description in RNAcentral is "partial 23S ribosomal RNA". It matches the Rfam family "Bacterial large subunit ribosomal RNA", at positions 2211 to 2780 of the family's 2925-position model. The record is from RNAcentral. Lineage: Bacteria; Pseudomonadati; Pseudomonadota; Gammaproteobacteria; Enterobacterales; Enterobacteriaceae.